ACGCUGGCGGCGUGCCUAAUACAUGCAAGUAGAACGCUGAAGGAGGAGCUUGCUUCUCUGGAUGAGUUGCGAACGGGUGAGUAACGCGUAGGUAACCUGCCUGGUAGCGGGGGAUAACUAUUGGAAACGAUAGCUAAUACCGCAUAAUAGUAGAUGUUGCAUGACAUUUACUUAAAAGGUGCAAUUGCAUCACUACCAGAUGGACCUGCGUUGUAUUAGCUAGUUGGUGGGGUAACGGCUCACCAAGGCGACGAUACAUAGCCGACCUGAGAGGGUGAUCGGCCACACUGGGACUGAGACACAGCCCAGACUCCUACGGGAGGCAGCAGUAGGGAAUCUUCGGCAAUGGACGGAAGUCUGACCGAGCAACGCCGCGUGAGUGAAGAAGGUUUUCGGAUCGUAAAGCUCUGUUGUAAGAGAAGAACGAGUGUGAGAGUGGAAAGUUCACACUGUGACGGUAUCUUACCAGAAAGGGACGGCUAACUACGUGCCAGCAGCCGCGGUAAUACGUAGGUCCCGAGCGUUGUCCGGAUUUAUUGGGCGUAAAGCGAGCGCAGGCGGUUAGAUAAGUCUGAAGUUAAAGGCUGUGGCUUAACCAUAGUACGCUUUGGAAACUGUUUAACUUGAGUGCAAGAGGGGAGAGUGGAAUUCCAUGUGUAGCGGUGAAAUGCGUAGAUAUAUGGAGGAACACCGGUGGCGAAAGCGGCUCUCUGGCUUGUAACUGACGCUGAGGCUCGAAAGCGUGGGGAGCAAACAGGAUUAGAUACCCUGGUAGUCCACGCCGUAAACGAUGAGUGCUAGGUGUUAGACCCUUUCCGGGGUUUAGUGCCGCAGCUAACGCAUUAAGCACUCCGCCUGGGGAGUACGACCGCAAGGUUGAAACUCAAAGGAAUUGACGGGGGCCCGCACAA
This 911-nucleotide ribosomal RNA is filed under the name uncultured bacterium. RNAcentral describes it as "bacterial SSU rRNA". It matches the Rfam family "Bacterial small subunit ribosomal RNA", at positions 33 to 928 of the family's 1533-position model. The record is from RNAcentral.